This 253-nucleotide ribosomal RNA is filed under the name uncultured bacterium. RNAcentral describes it as "partial 16S ribosomal RNA". It matches the Rfam family "Bacterial small subunit ribosomal RNA", at positions 524 to 776 of the family's 1533-position model. The record is from RNAcentral.
UACAGAGGUCUCAAGCGUUGUUCGGAUUCAUUGGGCGUAAAGGGUGUGUAGGCGGCGCGCUAAGUCGGGUGUGAAAUUUCGGAGCUUAACUCCGAAACUGCAUUCGAUACUGGCGUGCUUGAGGACUGGAGAGGAGACUGGAAUUUACGGUGUAGCAGUGAAAUGCGUAGAUAUCGUAAGGAAGACCAGUGGCGAAGGCGGGUCUCUGGGCAGUUCCUGACACUGAGACGCGAAAGCCAGGGGAGCAAACGGG